Molecule: ribosomal RNA, 468 nt
Filed under: uncultured bacterium
Lineage: Bacteria
Description: partial 16S ribosomal RNA
Rfam family: Bacterial small subunit ribosomal RNA
Source: RNAcentral
GACGAACGCUGGCGGCGUGCUUAACACAUGCAAGUCGAACGGAAAGGCCCUGCUUUUGUGGGGUGCUCGAGUGGCGAACGGGUGAGUAACACGUGAGUAACCUGCCCUUGACUUUGGGAUAACUUCAGGAAACUGGGGCUAAUACCGGAUAGGAGCUCCUGCUGCAUGGUGGGGGUUGGAAAGUUUCGGCGGUUGGGGAUGGACUCGCGGCUUAUCAGCUUGUUGGUGGGGUAGUGGCUUACCAAGGCUUUGACGGGUAGCCGGCCUGAGAGGGGGACCGGCCACAUGGCGACUGAGAUACGGACCAGUCGCCUGCGUGAGGCAGCAGGGGGGAGUAUUGCACAAUGGGCGGGAGCGUGAGGCGGCAACGCCGCGUGCGGGAUGACGGCCUUCGGGUUGUAAACCGCUUUCGCCUGUGACGAAGCGUGAGUGACGGUAAUGGGUAAAGAAGCACCGGCUAACUACGUG